UAGCAGUUCGUUGAUGAAAGACGUGUCUGUCCACUGGGGACUCCAGUAUUGGGGCCCUACCGGACAGUACCAAAAAAUGUGAUUCCUGUGGAUUCUUGGGCAUCAACGGUUUGAAGUUUGGAGGAAGCUCUAGCCAUUCAAAAAUUUAUUAAACUUCUCAAGAUUAUUACAACAGUUGCCACUUAUCACUCGUGACAUCAUGACUUGUGGCCAAUUUAAACGAGAAAACAGUGCGAUGGUGCCACUUACGGCGAUCUGUGGCAAAAGCGCCGAGUAUCCCGGGAACUUAAAAAGUCAUGUGAAAUGAGGUGUCGAGUUGGCGAUGUCAAAGAACGCAGCAGAAAAUUGGUGCUCGAACAGAGGUAAACAAACGCUCUGUGCCAAUGCAACCGAUCGCCACCAGCACUUGAGCCACUUCGUGGCAAAUUAUAAUUAAAAUGGGAAACACGUAGGAAAUGUCAACACGCACGAUGAUGAUGAAUUAAGUGGCAACGAGCAAGUACCAC
Molecule: long non-coding RNA, 506 nt
Organism: Zeugodacus cucurbitae (melon fly)
Lineage: Eukaryota; Metazoa; Arthropoda; Insecta; Diptera; Tephritidae
Exons: 2
Source: RefSeq, a predicted model, not a curated record